UAAUAAACUAGCUCGUGUUCCAGCAGUCGAGACUGAGAGGUCGAUCGACCACAUUGGGUAUGAAAAAAGCCCAAGGCGAACAGCACAGCAGUGAGGAAUAUUGGUCAAUGGUCUAACGACUGAACCAGCAAUUUGGAAGAACGUAUAAUAAAUAAAUUAUUUAAAGUUCUAGAUAAAAUAUUUAUAAUGACUAUUUUUUAUCUAUAAGUCUUGGCCAAAUUACGUGCCAGCAGUCGCGGUAAUACGUAAAAGACGAGUGUUAUUCAUCUUUAAUCGGUUUAAAGGGUACCUAGACGGAAAAUCAAGCUUAAUUAAACUAAGGACUAGUUUUCUAGAGUUUGACAUGAGAAGGUACGAACUAUCAGAGGAGAGAUAAAAUUUGUUGAUACUGGUGGGACGGACAACGGCGAAGGCAAUCUUCUACUAAAAACUGACGUUGAGGGACGAAGCCUUGGGGAGCGAGAAGGAUUAGAUACCCUAGUAGUCCUUGGAGAAAAUUAUGAGUGCCAUAGACUAAAGUGAAAAAGAAGUUCUUUUAAAAGAACUUUGUAUCUGAGCCUUAAUUGGAUACAAAGGUCUCGAGUAGCAGUUUAUAAAUGAAAGUGUAAGCAUUCCACCUCAUGACUAAAGCGGCAACGCCCAAAUUGAAAUCAUUAGACCGUUUCUGAAACCAGUAGUGAAGUAUGUUAUUUAAUUCGAUAACCCGCGAAUAACCUUACCACGUUUUGAAUUUAUUAAACAAGUGUUGCACGGCUGUCUUCAG
This 763-nucleotide ribosomal RNA is filed under the name Chaetothyriales sp. RNAcentral describes it as "bacterial SSU rRNA". It matches the Rfam family "Bacterial small subunit ribosomal RNA", at positions 258 to 1058 of the family's 1533-position model. The record is from RNAcentral. Lineage: Eukaryota; Fungi; Ascomycota; Eurotiomycetes; Chaetothyriales.